CGCUAAGAAGCUAAACCGGGUAACAGCGUUAGCCUUUUAAGCUAGAGAUUGGUGGCUCCCAACCACCCUUAGCAG
Molecule: transfer RNA, 75 nt
Filed under: Promethichthys prometheus
Lineage: Eukaryota; Metazoa; Chordata; Actinopteri; Scombriformes; Gempylidae
Description: tRNA-Lys
Rfam family: tRNA
About the family: Transfer RNA (tRNA) molecules are approximately 80 nucleotides in length. Their secondary structure includes four short double-helical elements and three loops (D, anti-codon, and T loops).
Source: RNAcentral